CCCAUGAGACUCAACCUUGUUUUACCUUAAUUAUCAUGGUGUGCCUGUUUUUAGAAUAGCUCACCAUUUUGUUAGUGGCAAUAAAAUGCAUCUUUAGGCACACCUAUAGCGCACAUGUGAUGAUGUACAGAUGAAAGAAAGAUCUUAGAAGUUGAGAAGCCGAGAGCUGGAGGAAUAAGGAGAAGCUAAAAAGACAGAAGAAGUCAGAGCAUGUGGAGCUGUUGGGCAAGCAGAGUUCUAUCUGGGUAUUUAGGUAGAUGAGGAUAAAAGGGAAAAGGAAAAUGUUGACGAUAUAGCUACUCAAUGCUGAGAAUGUUGCCUGCAUACUUUGUUGCCUAUAUAUCAUCGGCUUUGUAUUGAUCCAGGCAAGAACAAUCAGAUGGAACAAGUUUGCUACGGGUGGGUGUGCAUCAAGUUGCUUCGUUGCCGGCGGCGAGUAAUCUCACACAUGUUUAUGGUGCAUAUGUACCGGAAAAUUCAAAUGGUACUACCCGAUGUGCCUUUCAUACGAAACAGUUUAUGCUUAUGGGUGUUCAUCUUUGUUUCUGUAUACAGCUUACGGCUUUUUUGUUGAUCCCUUCCCUGUAGGUUCUGAUCAUACGUACGAGGGGAAUCAGGUAGGGCUUGAUGCGCCUUUCAUACGAAAUGUUGAUGAGAAUUACCCAAGUAGUCCAGGACGCAGUGACAUGCAAGGCGAGGGAAAUUGAAGCCAAAACAUGCAGGACGGCCAGGAGUGUGCCAUUUUUUCUAUGACAGGGGGUGGUUCUUCAAUCUUCAGGGAAUCAAGUGGUAGCAUCAGAUACUGACAUGCAUGGAAGCAGUAAACAUUGAUAAGAGUACAAGCAUUGGAGGAGUACUCACCACGUUCGAGGAAGUCGUCAUCAUGGUGGUGGUGGUCGAGGAAGUCGUAGGUGCUG
This is a non-coding RNA of Triticum urartu, 917 nucleotides long. The record is from RefSeq and is a predicted model, not a curated record. Lineage: Eukaryota; Viridiplantae; Streptophyta; Magnoliopsida; Poales; Poaceae.